RNAcentral lists this ribosomal RNA (452 nucleotides) under uncultured bacterium. RNAcentral describes it as "bacterial SSU rRNA". It matches the Rfam family "Bacterial small subunit ribosomal RNA", at positions 29 to 524 of the family's 1533-position model. The record is from RNAcentral.
AACGAACGCUGGCGGCAGGCUUAACACAUGCAAGUCGAACGGAUCCUUCGGGAUCAGUGGCGGACGGGUGAGUAACGCGUGGGAACCUACCCUGGGGUGGGGAAUAACCUUGGGAAACCGAGGCUAAUACCGCAUACGCCCUAUUGGGGAAAGACUAUGUUGCCCUGGGAUGGGCCCGCGUCCGAUUAGCUAGUUGGUGGGGUAAUGGCCUACCAAGGCUGCGAUCGGUAGCUGGUCUGAGAGGAUGAUCAGCCACACUGGGACUGAGACACGGCCCAGACUCCUACGGGAGGCAGCAGUGGGGAAUAUUGGACAAAUGGGGGCAACCCUGAUCCAGCCAUGCCGCGUGAGUGAAGAAGGCCUUAGGGUUGUAAAGCUCUUUCACCCGUGACGAUGAUGACGGUAGCGGGAGAAGAAGCCCCGGCUAAUUCCGUGCCAGCAGCCGCGGUAAU